UAGGUGAACCUGCGGAAGGAUCAUUACCACACCAAAUAAACUAUCCACGUGAACGUAUACUUAUAUUGGGUUUGUGUUGCUCCUUUGCGAGUGACUAACCGAAGGUUUCGAAAGGAACCGAUGCACUUUGAAUCCCUUUUACUUUAUGUCUGAACCAAUUCGGCAUACAGAAAUGUGUGCUUACAAUUGACAUACAACUUUCAACAGUGGAUGUCUUGGCUCGCACAUCGAUGAAGAACGCUGCGAACUGCGAUACGUAAUGCGAAUUGCAGAAUUCAGUGAGUCAUCAAAAUUUUGAACGCAUAUUGCACUUCCGGGUUAGUCCUGGGAGUAUGCUUGUAUCAGUGUCCGUGAAUACUACAUUGUUUCAUGUAUUUGAAGCAGAAUGUGAAGUGUCUUGUUUCGGCAAGUCCUUUUAAAUGAGUAUUACCUGUGCACCCUUGUGGUUUGUACUAUAUAAAGGUAUUUGCAAUUUCGACUUUGGCCGUCCGGUGUGAAGGUACGUGGCUUGAAAGGAGGAAUGGAUCGCGGUAGUUUUGCUUGUGCUUGGGUGCAGGUGAAUCGUAUUAUUGCUUUUUGUUCUUUUGGAAGGGCUCUGUGUUUGAUCGCUGGAUUCAAUUUCAAGUUGUAGUUCCUGGUGCAUUCCUUGGUGUAUGGAGGCAGAUUGGGAAACAAAUCCAAUUUGGACCUGAUAUCAAGCAAGACUACCCGCUGAACUUAAGCAUAUCAUUAAGCG
Molecule: ribosomal RNA, 736 nt
Filed under: Saprolegnia sp. SAP1
Lineage: Eukaryota; Oomycota; Saprolegniomycetes; Saprolegniales; Saprolegniaceae
Description: eukaryotic LSU rRNA
Rfam family: 5.8S ribosomal RNA (bases 196-350)
Source: RNAcentral